This 530-nucleotide ribosomal RNA is filed under the name uncultured bacterium. Its description in RNAcentral is "partial 16S ribosomal RNA". It matches the Rfam family "Bacterial small subunit ribosomal RNA", at positions 355 to 900 of the family's 1533-position model. The record is from RNAcentral.
UGGGGAAUAUUGCACAAUGGGCGAAAGCCUGAUGCAGCAACGCCGCGUGAGUGAUGAAGGUCUUCGGAUUGUAAAGCUCUGUCUUUUGGGACGAUAAUGACGGUACCAAAGGAGGAAGCCACGGCUAACUACGUGCCAGCAGCCGCGGUAAUACGUAGGUGGCGAGCGUUGUCCGGAUUUACUGGGCGUAAAGGGUGCGUAGGCGGAUGUUUAAGUGAGAUGUGAAAUACCCGGGCUUAACUUGGGUGCUGCAUUUCAAACUGGAUAUCUAGAGUGCAGGAGAGGAGAAUGGAAUUCCUAGUGUAGCGGUGAAAUGCGUAGAGAUUAGGAAGAACACCAGUGGCGAAGGCGAUUCUCUGGACUGUAACUGACGCUGAGGCACGAAAGCGUGGGUAGCAAACAGGAUUAGAUACCCUGGUAGUCCACGCCGUAAACGAUGAGUACUAGGUGUAGGAGGUAUCGACCCCCUUCUGUGCCGCAGUAAACACAUUAAGUACUCCGCCUGGGAAGUACGAUCGCAAGAUUAAAAC